AGCUUCCUCUGAGACCCUGAGAUCCUAGUGUGACCAAGCUCCUGUUAUCCGAGGAUCCUUAAGUCCUAGGAUCUUGGCCAUGUUACAGCACCUGGAAAGUGGUGUCUCCUCUGGGGACCAUGGGGCUCUCUGAUGUGUUUGAAACCAAGUCCACACCUAUAUGCCCAAUCCUGAAUCUGUUCUUUACUUCCUGGUCACUGCUCUAUCUGCCUCACUGGAGGUCUGCUGCCACCCAGGACUACCAGACUUGAACUGAAACGUCAGGCAGACAUGGGCACAACACAGCUAUUGGUGGCAUGUAAGAAGAAAGAAGGAGUCAUUGGAACCAGAUUCACUCAGUUCUAAGAUCUCAAGAAAUAUACUGAACCUACUGGUACUCAGAGAAAUCCUAAUUCAUAGACUGCCUUCUCAGGAGGACCCCCCCCAUACCAAAGGCAUUGUGUAUGGAGCCUUCCCAGAAAGAGCCCUAAGAUAUAAAAUCUCUGAAAAAAAAAUCCCAGAUCAAAUUGUAACAGGUCAUUUCUACCUGGCCAUGCUUUAGUAAGCAAAUGAUUACAUGGCUCUGGAGAAAGGUGCUACAGAAGGUCGACCUUUCUAGAACAGCCUACACUGGUACAGGUAAAAAAAUGAUACUCAGGAAGUGGGAUGGACAUAUCUACUUGGUAUCUUACAGAACAAAAUACAGAAUUCAUCGUAAAGCCUUGAGAUUGAAGAAUAAAAUAUCAAUUUAUGUUAAUUGC
This is a long non-coding RNA of Mus musculus (house mouse), 740 nucleotides long. RefSeq annotates it as RIKEN cDNA 1700025K24 gene. The record is from RefSeq and is marked validated. The transcript is spliced from 3 exons. Lineage: Eukaryota; Metazoa; Chordata; Mammalia; Rodentia; Muridae.